RNAcentral lists this ribosomal RNA (253 nucleotides) under uncultured bacterium. Its description in RNAcentral is "partial 16S ribosomal RNA". It matches the Rfam family "Bacterial small subunit ribosomal RNA", at positions 524 to 776 of the family's 1533-position model. The record is from RNAcentral.
UACGAAGGGGGCUAGCGUUGCUCGGAAUCACUGGGCGUAAAGCGCACGUAGGCGGAUUGUUGAGUCAGGGGUGAAAUCCUGGAGCUCAACUCCAGAACUGCCUUUGAUACUGGCGAUCUCGAGUCCGGGAGAGGUGAGUGGAACUGCGAGUGUAGAGGUGAAAUUCGUAGAUAUUCGCAAGAACACCAGUGGCGAAGGCGGCUCACUGGCCCGGUACUGACGCUGAGGUGCGAAAGCGUGGGGAGCAAACAGG